This 1435-nucleotide ribosomal RNA is filed under the name uncultured organism. Its description in RNAcentral is "SSU rRNA". It matches the Rfam family "Bacterial small subunit ribosomal RNA". The record is from RNAcentral.
UUAACACAUGCAAGUCGAGGGGCAGCAUGGUUUUAGCUUGCUAAGACUGAUGGCGACCGGCGCACGGGUGAGUAACACGUAUCCAACCUGCCGUCUACUCUUGGACAGCCUUCUGAAAGGAAGAUUAAUACAAGAUGGCAUCAUGAGUCCGCAUGCUCACAUGAUUAAAGGUAUUCCGGUAGACGAUGGGGAUGCGUUCCAUUAGAUAGUAGGCGGGGUAACGGCCCACCUAGUCUUCGAUGGAUAGGGGUUCUGAGAGGAAGGUCCCCCACAUUGGAACUGAGACACGGUCCAAACUCCUACGGGAGGCAGCAGUGAGGAAUAUUGGUCAAUGGGCGAGAGCCUGAACCAGCCAAGUAGCGUGAAGGAUGACUGCCCUAUGGGUUGUAAACUUCUUUUAUAAAGGAAUAAAGUCGGGUAUGCAUACCCGUUUGCAUGUACUUUAUGAAUAAGGAUCGGCUAACUCCGUGCCAGCAGCCGCGGUAAUACGGAGGAUCCGAGCGUUAUCCGGAUUUAUUGGGUUUAAAGGGAGCGUAGAUGGAUGUUUAAGUCAGUUGUGAAAGUUUGCGGCUCAACCGUAAAAUUGCAGUUGAUACUGGAUAUCUUGAGUGCAGUUGAGGCAGGCGGAAUUCGUGGUGUAGCGGUGAAAUGCUUAGAUAUCACGAAGAACUCCGAUUGCGAAGGCAGCCUGCUAAGCUGCAACUGACAUUGAGGCUCGAAAGUGUGGGUAUCAAACAGGAUUAGAUACCCUGGUAGUCCACACGGUAAACGAUGAAUACUCGCUGUUUGCGAUAUACUGCAAGCGGCCAAGCGAAAGCGUUAAGUAUUCCACCUGGGGAGUACGCCGGCAACGGUGAAACUCAAAGGAAUUGACGGGGGCCCGCACAAGCGGAGGAACAUGUGGUUUAAUUCGAUGAUACGCGAGGAACCUUACCCGGGCUUAAAUUGCAGAUGAAUUACGGUGAAAGCCGUAAGCCGCAAGGCAUCUGUGAAGGUGCUGCAUGGUUGUCGUCAGCUCGUGCCGUGAGGUGUCGGCUUAAGUGCCAUAACGAGCGCAACCCUUGUUGUCAGUUACUAACAGGUUCCGCUGAGGACUCUGACAAGACUGCCAUCGUAAGAUGUGAGGAAGGUGGGGAUGACGUCAAAUCAGCACGGCCCUUACGUCCGGGGCUACACACGUGUUACAAUGGGGGGUACAGAGGGCCGCUACCACGCGAGUGGAUGCCAAUCCCCAAAACCUCUCUCAGUUCGGACUGGAGUCUGCAACCCGACUCCACGAAGCUGGAUUCGCUAGUAAUCGCGCAUCAGCCACGGCGCGGUGAAUACGUUCCCGGGCCUUGUACACACCGCCCGUCAAGCCAUGGGAGCCGGGGGUACCUGAAGUGCGUAACCGCGAGGAGCGCCCUAGGGUAAAACUGGUGACUGGGGCUAAGAC